GGAUGUAAGAGGGAUCUGGCUGUGACAUCUGUCACCCCAUUGAUGGCCAUGGUUGAUUCAGGCAAUCUGGCUGGCUAGGUGUCCCCUUCCUUCCUCACUGCUCCACGUGCAUCCCUUCUGAAGCUUUGGGCUGCAAGCUUGGGGGUGGAGGAUGACCUUACCCAAUAGAGGCAAGGACCUUCUUCCGUCGACGGUAUACGAGCAGCUGAGUUCCCUACUAGAACCUCCAAACAAGCUCUCCAUGUUCACUUGUAGGAGAACGUAGGGUAGUCAAGCUCCCAAGGCUCCGGACACAUCCAAAUGAGGAGCUGCAUGUGGCAGUCUGCAUUU
RNAcentral lists this small nuclear RNA (330 nucleotides) under Myotis davidii. RNAcentral describes it as "7SK RNA". It matches the Rfam family "7SK RNA". From Rfam's summary of the family: 7SK was discovered as an abundant small nuclear RNA in the mid-70s but a possible function has only recently been suggested. Two independent studies have found that 7SK RNA binds the CDK9/cyclin T complex (known as elongation factor P-TEFb). P-TEFb activates transcription by phosphorylating the C-terminal domain of RNA polymerase II. Lineage: Eukaryota; Metazoa; Chordata; Mammalia; Chiroptera; Vespertilionidae. The record is from Rfam by way of RNAcentral.